UGUCACCCAGGCUGGAGUGCAGUGGUGUGAUCUUGGCUCACUGCAACCUCUGCCUCCCGGGUUCAAGCGAUUCUCCUGUCUCAGUCUCCUGAGUAGUGGGGACUACAGGCAGGCAACACCAAGCCUGGCUAAUUUUGUAUAUUUGGUAGAGACAGGGUUUCACCAUGUUGGCCAGGCUGGUCUCAAACUCCUGACUUCAGGUGAUCCUGACCUUGGCUUCCCAAAGUGCUAGGAUUCCAGGCGUGAGCCACCGCACCUGGCUUGCAAAUUUCUAUUUCUAAUUGAGCCAGCAUUUCUUCCCAAAGGUUCACUGGAAAAUCACUGACAUGAAGAAGAUUGAUUAAUAGGAAAAAAGGCAUACACAUUUAUUUAAUGUGUAUACACAGGAGCCUUCAGAAUGAAGACCCAAAGAUAGAGGGGAAAUUGUCCACUUUUACACUUAGGUUCAAGACAGUAUGGAUAGUCACAUAGAAAUAUGACUGGACAAAAAGGGUCUGAUGGAAUGCUAGACUAGACUGAGUAGAAAGCGCAGCAAGGCCUGUCUGCCUAGAUUCUUCCAGGCAUCCAUGCCGCAUUCCUUCCUUCUGGGUAUGGGACAGGAUCCUUUCUGGAGUGGGGGUCUUAUGACCUACAGUCAAAUAAGAUAGGUUAGAUGAGGUCUUUAUGGCCAGUUUUUACACAGAAAGGUGGAAGGAAAGCUAGAGUUGUAUUUUAGGUUUUAUGGCUGGCUUUGGGGAAAAGGGGUUCUGGUUUUUAUAUCCGCCUUGGGGAAGAGGGAUUCUGGUUUCUAUGGCUGGCCUCGGGGAGAAUGAGGGGCAAGAGAUAGGAGGGCAGGAGAAGAUCAGAGAAAAACUUUUGCUUCUGAGGCUAAGCCUUCCUUUUGGGGUAUUGUUUUCUGAGUCCCAACACUUGUUAUUUGGAACAACUCAUUAGAAUGUAGGGACUGGGGCUAUGUCAUGUAUUAACAUCUCCCAGGGAGCUGUCAGCCUCCCUCAGCAAAUGCUUCCUGAAUGCAUGAAUGAACCAAUGAGUGUUGGCCAUGCAAAGUCAGUAGUUUUCUGCCAACCCCAUGAGUUCCACCAGUCGUCUCCAGAGAUUCCUUGCAAAGAACUUGGUACUGGGGCAUGUACUUAUAAUGUCUCCUUCUUUUUCCUUCUAUUCUAUCAUCCUGUGUCUUGUCCAGCCUCCAGGAGUUCAGUGAGAAAGGAAACACACACACACACACUACAAAAACCAGGAGAAAAAAACCAUUAAAAAAUCCCACUGUAGGAAGAUUCUGCUGCCUCUAGACUUUAGGAAAGCCGCUGACCUAAUUCAUUUGCUAUGGUGGCUUUUUCAUCCUCAGGACUGGUGCUGCCUGUGUAGUUCAGCCUGUGAAGGCUCCCUUUCAAGUAGGCCAGCUGCAUGGUAUUCUGGACUUACAAUGUGCAGGGCAGAUGUAGUGUCCCCUUGAAAUACACUUAACGGUGGGCAACAAAAUCCAAAAGCAAACCCCCACAAAUAUCUAACUUAAAAAAAAAGAACUUUCUAGAUCUCAGUCCUCAUCUGGAUACUUCAUUAGGAUCCUGAGACAUCUGGGGACCAGCGAUGGAAAGAAGGAAAGAGACUUCCAUAUGUUGAGAGCCUAUUAUAUGCCUGCAUUGUGCUAAGCCCUUUCCCAUAUGUUAUCCAAUGUAAUCCCCCACAAAAGCCCUGCCAGAGUGGAAUUAUUCUUCUCAUUUUACAAAUAAGAAAACAGUAGCUCGGAGAUGCUAAGUUACUCGCCCAAGGUCACAUAGACGGUAAGUGGUAGAUGCUGAUUUGAAUCCAGACAGUGUCAUUAUCAAGGGGUGGUUUGGGAGGCUUUCGUUGUAACCAUCAUCUGUAGCAGCCCCCUUCUCCACAAUUAUCCCAAAUAAACACACAAUCUAAGUCGGAAGAGCCUACAGGAGGCAAAAAUGUAGCUUCAAUAUGUGCUUCCCUGUCAUCUCCCUUUCAUUGAGAUUAUUGCUGCCCCAAAUCCUGUCUACACAGACAUUCUGGAGUCCGUACUAAAUCAAGAUUUGUCUGGCUGCAAAGACCAUGUUCUGUCCAACACAACCAGGAUGCCUCUUCUCUUAGAUUCCUACCAAGAAGACCUUGCUUCUUGAAACCCUUACCUAGAAGAGCCAAUGAAUCAGUGUAGGAUUUCCCUAAUGGUGGCUGGCACCAUAGGUUCCAAAAUGUCACCACCAGCUCUAAGUCAUCAGCCCUUUAAACGCCUCCACACAUCCCGGGGUAUACUGACGCGAGGAGUCACAGUGGGUAAGCAUCACUAGGUUGCAGAAGCACUGGGCUAAUGGUGUGGAUGAGGGUUUCAAUUUACUUGGAAACAUCCACGGGCCAAGGUUCAGUUCAUUUUAGGUUUCGACUAAGUUUUUCCAGGCUCUAAAUGUAGAGAGCAGGGGUGUUUAAAGUGACUGUCCUGACACAGGCUGUUCCCUAGGGGCCACUCUAGCUUCCUUCUUGGAAGUGUGAUGUGGGUCCAGAGUUCAGGCCAGCCACGGUCUUGGAUUCCAGAUGGGAGUUCAUUUUUAGAGACCAAAUGGUCAUAAGUGAACAUGUCAUCUUGGGCUAGCUGGAAAAUACAAACACCAGCCCAGAGUCCAGGAAUUCAGGAUUGUAAAUAGGUGAAAGCACCCUUCACCUUCUCUCCUCCUUCCCUCAAGGUGGUUCACAUACAACUAUUAGCAAUUGACAUUCAUAGCUCUUGUACUUCACAGUAUUUUCAUGCCUGGGACUCUGUUUUGAUCCCUGCAAGUACAGUGUUAUGAUACUCCUUUUAUGGAUGAUGAAUUGGAGACACCAAGAGGUUCAGAGCUUCUUCCAAAGUCAUAGAGCCAGUGAGUUGUGAAGACGAGGGGCUCAGUCUUCCGAUUCAUGCAAAGGGUUGAUGUGACAUUUUCAGAGCCUAGUUCUAGCUUCAUUGUGCUGGAAAGUGGUCUUGGCCUGAGGACAGCAGGGUGCUUCAGAGUCCAGUCUGAUGCCCUUUGGCAGCCACACACCCUCCUGUGAAGGCACCACAAAUUCCUUGGGAGGGAGACGCGUUCCAGAUGUGUAUGCCGCCUCUAGAGAAAACGUGGCUUCUUCUGGUGAGCCACAUGCAAGGUGUCUCGCUGGCCACUGUGAAGUGGGGAGAGACGCCUGGAGCAAGCCAUGAUCUCUGCCAGCACUGGAAUCACCAACAUCCUUGAGCUUCCUUCAGUCUGAUGCAGAACCUGAGGACGUGGCCAUCUCUUGGUGGUGUUCUGGGAAAGCAGGAAGUCUUCAGACCUGAUUGUCUUCAGAUUUCAGCCAUGGGCUCCCUGGUGAGCCAUCUCAGGGGUAUAGGAAACAUGGAUGCCGCCCCGGAGGCAGCUCUCAGGUUUGCUGAAAAAUCAACUCACAAAAGGAGAUUAAUUGGAAUAAAGGCAUACAGAUCAAUAUGCGCAUGGGGGAGAACCGUGGAGUGAUUACCCCACCAUCUGCAUUGAGGUAUAGAAGCUUACAUCCCAUCCUACAGUUACAGAGAGAAUGGGGGCUCAGAGCAUGGCCCAAACCAGACUAUGGUGGAACAGCAGGUUAUGGAGGCAAGAUAGGUUAUUUGGGGGGAAGAAAGGGAGUCGUGGCUAACAAAGGUGAUCUUGUUAUGCAGAGGAAAUCCCACAGAUAGCAGCCCUCAAAGAGAACAGAUGAUAAUUCUUUUUUUUUUUUUUUUUUUUUUUUUUUUUUUUUUUUUUUUUUUUUUAAGAUGGAGACUUGCUCUGUCGCCCAGUCUGGAGUGCAGUGGUGCCAUCUCAGCUCACUGCAACCUCCGCCUCCCGGGUUCCAGUGAUUCUCCUGCCUCAGCCUACUGAGUAGCUGAGAUUACAGGCAUGUGUCACCAUGCCUGGCUAAUUUUUAUAUCUUUAGUAGAGAUGGGUUUCACCAUGUUGGCCAGGCUGGUCUCAAUCUCCUGACCUCAGAUGAUCUGCUCAUCUCGGCCUCCCAAAGUGCUGGGAUUACGGGGAUAAUCCUUUUUUAGACCUUUAAACAUGUCAGACUCUUGGUUAAUCUUUCCUAGAUCUGGACAAGGGAAGGUCUUGGAGAAGGCCUGAUUGCAUCUCUGCAGAUGCAAAUCUCCCCCACGAAAGACAGCUCUUCAGGGAAUCUUCUGUUUGCUGGCUCUCUGAACAACCUUCUCAAAAGAUGUCAAUGACCUAUGUUUUCUAUUGAAAUAUUUUUAUUUCUUCCAGCGCAAUCUGGGAUCUCAGGGGCUGACAGCAGAGAAGUUACCUGAAGGCGCAACAAGCAGUGGUCCCUGUAGGCAGAAGCUACCUGGUGCCCCAGUGAUGUGGGAGGCCCUCAGUUCCUGCGCUUCUUGCUGCCUGGGCACAUGUUCCCGGAGGAUGGCAGGACCUCCUGGCCUCUCCCCUGUCUACCCGCCAGAGCUCUGCUUCUUAAGAUAAGACCACCUCUUUCCUCCAGCCAAUGUGCUGCUCUUCUGACUUCAAAACACUUGCACUUCCAGGGCUCAACGUACAGUGAGUUCUCAAGGAUUCGGUGAAUAAAUGUACAAAUGUCUCCCGUUACAGCUGCCACAUUCAGUGGGGUAGGUCUUAUGAUCAUUUCUCUGAGGAAGGGUGCUGUGCUCAUGGUCUCAGUCUGCAAAUUGCAGACUGAGAAUCCAACGAAGGCACCUGCUCUCUGCCCCCGCACCCCCCCACCGGCCCCAAGGCUGACCCUCUCCUCCCCUGGUAUCAGCUCGAAGCAUUGUUGGAGUCCCCAGGGACCCGGAUGCUUCCCUGUGUGCCCUGUCUUUGAGGUGCCCGCCAUCUCAAGUCAAGACACACAGCAGGGUGUGAGAGGCCAGGGAGCCCAUGGGAAUUCCAGGGGAUGCUCUCAGCGUGUUUUGUGAGGAACGACUGGCUCACCUAGUCAGGCCUGGGACAAAAUAUCACCUGCUGAAGGAUGAUUGGCUGUGGCGCUGGCCUUGUGCUGGAAGAGGGCCUCUGAGAGCACAGGGAACUGCCCCUGGGCAUUUUCUCACAAUUGUUCCGAGGGUUAGAGGCUGGAUCCCAGGAACCGCGUGUGGCCACUCUGUCCUUCUUCAGAGAGAGAUUCAACUUCCGGAGCCAGGGUCACCCCUAAUGGCUCACUUCCCUUCCUUCCCCUGCCAGGAUUUUCCCCCAGAUUAUCUUGGGGUUGUCUCAGCCCUUACCAUACCUCAUCCUUCCCAGCAGCAGCCCGCCAGCCCCACGCGGAGUGUUCUACUCUUUCCAAAGACAGCCCACAUUUCGGGGUCUCCUGCACCCCCAAAUGUGGGAUUGGUAAGAUGCACGCUUCCUGACUUGGGUUUCUUCUUUCAUUUGCAGUUAAAAACCAUGACCACAAAAGAGACAUCCACAACUCGCUGUAAUAGGCGCUUGCAUAAUAGACGUGGGGACAGUGUUUGGGGGAACAGGAUAGGGUGGCUCUGUUUUUCCAACAGUUGUGAGAUUCAUUUUGGUGAAGUAAGAAGGUUUUACAGGGUCCUCUAAGACAGAAGGGGUUUCCUGGGAAGGAAGCUGGCUUAUCAACCUGCCUCCUCUCGCUCACCUGGUGCUAGCUGCUUACUUUCCACCCUUUGCCCUCUGCUGAAGGGAGAGUUUGAACAUCUUUAGAUUCUUUUCUUUGCUUGGCAAGAUGUGCUGUAUUUAUUCAACUUAGCCUCAAGGUUAAGCACACAGACCCUUGUCAGAAGCCAGACAGCGAGUGUUCAAAUCCCAGCUGUGUCACUUACCAGCUCUGUCACACCUUGGGGAUGUGACUUCACUUGCCUUGAUUUCCUCAUCAGUGAAAUGGGGAUAAUAAUAGUACUUGCCCCAUAAACAGGGAUAAUAGUACUUACCUUAUAUAAUAAGGAUUACAUGUAAACAUUUAAUAUACAUAAAGCUCUUGUUUGUUUGUUUUUAGAGACAGGGUCUCAGUCUGUCAUCCAGGCUGGAGUGCAGUGGCAAGAUGCUAGCUCACUGCAGCCUUGACCUCCUGGGCUCAAGGAAUCUUCCUAUUUCAGCUUCCUGAGUAGCUAGGAGUACAGGUGCAUGCCACCAUACCUGGCUAUUUUUAAAACAUGCUUUUAUAUAGAUGGGGUCUUGCUCUGUUUCCCAGGCUAGUUUUGAACUUCUGGCCUCAAGCACUCCUCCCACCUCAGCCUCCAAAGUAUGGGGAUUAUAGGCAUGAGCCACUGUGCCCAGCCAAACAGCUCUUAAAAUAUACAAAAGCUCUUAAAAUAGUGCCUAGCACAGUGUUUACUAUUGUCACUAUCUACUUGGAUUCUCUGCCUGUUGGUCUCCACUUUGCACAAUUAUUUGUGGACAUUUGAGAUCGUCGAGUUCUCGAGAACCAGUCAGGCUGAUUUACCUCCAAUGUACGUGUAAUAUGUUUUUUUCCUUUUCUGGAACUGAGCAACAUCCUCCAAGUUUGUCCACUCUCCGAGUGUCUUAACUGCCCCCGGUAGAGAGGCAUUUAGCAAACAGAAACAGAUUACAGAGACCCUCGUGGCCACAUGCAAUUUGCAGUUGCUCUCAAGAGUGGGUGUGGUCACUUGUUGUUCCCUUUAGCCAUCAUAUCAGCUGCCUGGGUGAGGGGUCAGUGUGCCAAACGUUCCUGGUGGGAAAUGACUUGGUUUCCCAUAUGAGCCCCGACCUUCACUGGCCUCUCCCUCUUAGAACUCCCAUUAACCACCAUGUGUGCUGGUCACUGCAGCUGAAUCCAUCCACAGGGGCUGCCCAGAAAAAGACAAUGACUUCUGCAGGGCUGGGGAGGCUGUCCUCGUGAAAAUAACUGAAUCUACCCGAGUGUGUGGCCUGUGCUGGGGAAACGUGGGUGACUUGAAUGAUGUCAGGCAAUCAGUGCAAUUGAAAUAUGUCAAAAAUGGCUCCAUCAACGCACCCGGCUCAUAUUUAGCUAUAAAAUGUGAGGCCAGGUUACGAACCGGAAGCAUUUCUUUCAACCAAAGUCAUUUGGAAAGGAAUAUCUUUGACACAUCCUUGCUGCCCCUUCCCCCAUUGCGGUGUCCCUGGCUGUGUGGCUGGCAGCCUGGCUCUUGGUGAGUCGCAGCUGCACCUGUGCCCACCUUCUCACCACGGGAGUAGGUGCUUCUCCUUUGGGCACCUUCUGGCUUUGCACCGUAAAAGUGAAAUACGGUGUGGUCCUGCAAGCUGCUUCUCCAGUGAUGUGAAAAGCGUAAGAGAGAGGCUCUGGGAAGGGGCAGAUGCUGCAGGUGCAAUGAUGCCAGCUGUUGAGGACGGUGCCCUGUGCCUGGGGAAGUACAUGCUGUAACUGGAGCUCCACCUUGGUACCCCACCGCUGGACCCUCCAAAGAGAGCUCUGACAUGUAUGAAGUUUCAUAUACUCAAUUCCUUUACCGCUGGACUUGUGAGAAUUGUAUGAGGAAGGCCACUUUGAGGAUCAUAUUCAUGCUGGCAAUAAUGACAUGAAAAGCAACAGUAAUAGUAGCAACUAUCGUCAAGGUCCCAUAGGUACCAGUUUUCAUGCUUAACAGCACAACCAUCUCAUCCCUGGAACCAAGCAUCCCUGGAACCAAGCAAGAUCAGUGCUGUUGAUCUUCAUUUUGCAAUUGAGGUAACGGAGGCUCAGUUAACUUAAGUAACUUGUCAGGGGUACAAAGUAAGUAUAAGUGGCUGAGCUGUGAUUCAGAUCCAGGCCCAUCUGAUGCGAUAGCUCAUUCUUUUCUCCAUGACAUCAGGAGGCCUCCUCCUCCCUUGUGUUGCUCAGAGUUCUGAUAAGAAUCAGAUUUCUAGGUGAAUCACAAGAAGGUGACUAUUCUGGUUAGAUAACGGGAGAAUGGGCCCCAUCAUGGCAACAGACUCCUAAGACUCAUACAUCACAAGAAAGGGCUCCCUACAGCUUUGACACUAGGGUGCUUCUCUGUGCACCUCCUUGCUCCCCUCCCAUGAGAAGGACUGUCUUUCAUCCUCAUAGCUAUUAUUUUUGAAACAUCAGUUUUAAUUUGGGGCACCCGCUCUCUUCGGGAGAUUGCAAAAAUUAAAUCGUUUUUAAGCAACCCAACAACACUUCUGGGGUUUGUAAUAAACUUGUGAAAUUUGCGGAACUUGGUGGUUGAGGUUCUCUCCGUCCUACUUCCCUGGGGCCCCGAGGAGCUUUCGAGUUGGUUCUUCAUGCCCUCUUGUUUGGAGCUGCUUUUGUCAACUGGGCCCAGCUACUGCGUCUUGGACCAAGGAGGCGAUGAGCCCUGAAACAGUCCAGGGUCUCUAGGAGAGCAACUCCCAAACCAUGUUUCUGGCCCUGCCUUCCCUCUGUUAUUCUGGGGAAAAAACUGACCCUACGUGGGUGGGAGGUCCCAUCUACAGAGACCAGCCUUGUUUGUUUCCAUAGGAUUUGACUACUGAGGGGCACGAAAAUACAUAGCCAACUUCCCCUUGCAGAGUUCACUGUCUCCCCUUCCAGCAGAUGACUCCAGGAUCCUUGGAAGCAUAGGAACACACCCCAGUUGAUGACACUGUUUCCUCUCCUCUGCAGAAGAAGAUCCUCUCCACUCACAGGAAACAGCAGCAAGAUGGUUUCCAGGCACCAGCUGUCACUGGGCUUGUACUGUUACAGUCCAAGCUGAGCACGCAAGGCAGGGUGUGUUUCUGGCUCCCCAUAGCUGAAAGCUCAACUUCAUGUGGUCAGGUCUUGGAUGGCGUCAAGGCCUGUAGGGUGAACAGAACUCUCUGAGUCACCUUUCCCUGCUGUUCAGGGCCUUGAUAUAACAGACAGGGCCAUUGGCUCCACAGGGGCAUGGUGGGGAAGAAGGGUCCAGGAAGGCACUUUGCCUUUGUGUCUUGUCCUUGGUAUUUGGAGGGCAACACCCCUGUAUUUUUCUAAUCCUAUUAGCUAAGAAUCUGGAACCUGGGCCAGAGGCCUGGGUUCUAACACUAUCUCCACCGUUUCCCAACCAUGGAUACACCCUAUACUUUCCCUCGUCUGUACAGUGGAGCUAAUAAUAGUACCUAACUCAUGGAACUAUCAUGAGUCUUAAAUGAGUGUUAACACGCAUGAAGUGAAGUGCUUAUAUCUGGCAGAUAGUAAAUGUGUAUUAUCAAUUUAAUUUACACUAUUAUUUGACUGUAUUUCUACUAUACAGAGCAACUAUUGCCUGGUCAUAUGUCCUAACAAAUAAACUGUGGAGACAGACAAGUAACUGUCUCAGUGCUAAGGACACCACUGACCCUCAACAGAAUAAUGCCCCCUAAAGAUGUGUAGACCCUAAUCCCCGGAAUCUGGGAAUGUGUUAGGUUACACGGCAAAGGCAAAGGAAGGUUGCAGGAGGAGCUGAGGCUGCAAAUCAGCUGACCUUACAGUGGGAAGAGAAGCCUGAGUUCUCCAGGUGAGACCAAUGUCCAGCAUCCUGGCUGAGCCUGCUCCCUUUACAAACAAGGUUAGGAUUUAUAACUGCUUUCAUGGUAACAUCUGGCUCAUUUCUCUCAAGUUCCCCCAACUCUUUUUUUUUUUUUAGUAUACAAAUCUUUAUUCUAAAGUCAUUUCAUUUCGGCUCAAUUCCUUCUCUCUCUCUUUCUACCUGUUUGUUUGGCCUUUGGAGAUUGAGAAUGAGAAGUAACAGGACUCAUUACCCACAGCUAGUCACAAGAGGAGACAGAGGGAGAGUGAAUGCAAAAGAAAGGUACCAGAGAGGCCACCUUGCUGGCUGUCAAGGUGGAGUAAAGAGGCCACAAGCCAAGGGGUGUAGGCGGCCUGGUCUCUUCUGCAGCUGCUUUUUAAAACUCUAGGACUUUCUUCCACCAACAAAUUCUUUAGGUUUUAUCAGAGUUAGGAGGCAGUUAGCAUCUGCAACAAUAGAAAGAAUAUGUAUUAUUUGGAAUGCUUGUGUGGCUUAUACAGCUCCCAACCAGUUCGGGAGUCUUAACACAUUGUGCUAAAAGAUGCUGAAGGCUGGGUUUCCACUUCCCAAACAAUUUCAUUCUCUAAGAAAACUGCCGAUAAAGAUAAAAAACAUUACAGCCAAAUGGAGUCUUGCCUGAAUCCCAGGCCCUGCCACAUCGACCGCUGGUUCUAUCAGUGGCCAGUGUUCUGGAAACGCUUCCCCGACAUCAAGGAAGCCGGAUCCUCCCCACACAGUGAUGGGUUCUAGGCCAUUUUUGCUGCCUCGGUCUGGGAGCUCACCAUCCUCAGAAGCUCCCAGCACCUGGAGAUGUCUCGCAUCCUGGCUGAGCCUGCUCCCUUUAGCAAACAAGGUCAGGAUUUGUAACUGCUUUUGUGGCAACAUCUGGCUUAUUU
This 10278-nucleotide long non-coding RNA is filed under the name Homo sapiens (human). Its description in RNAcentral is "long non-coding RNA NONHSAT153163.1". Lineage: Eukaryota; Metazoa; Chordata; Mammalia; Primates; Hominidae. The record is from RNAcentral.